Long non-coding RNA from Rhipicephalus microplus (southern cattle tick), 712 nucleotides. The record is from RefSeq and is a predicted model, not a curated record. Lineage: Eukaryota; Metazoa; Arthropoda; Arachnida; Ixodida; Ixodidae.
ACAUACGUAUGGGCUGAUAUUCACAAAAUGUUCUUGCGUCAGUGCUCUUCGAAAGAGAAAAUUUUAACCAACCGUGAUGCCGAACGUGCCAUAAUCGAAGGUGACCGACCAUUGCAAAUUAACACUGAGACCGAAAAUGUUUUGUGAAUUGAGUCCUUGUUGUUUCAGACGCGAGGAUGAUUGUGUACUGUACAUGAACUAAUAUCCUUUUGUCUGUCUUUUUCCUCUACCUUUUGCGUUUUGUUUCUCGUUCGUUUUGGUUUGGCGCCUUUGUUUCGCAGGUCUCAGACCCUUUUGCGAAAGGGUGUCGUCGUUGAGGACACAAGUGAAGGUGACAUCAAGGACCCGGAUAUCAUACCGCCGAAGACAGAUUUGGAAGAUCCAGAGUGGGUCUUCCGCCAGUUAAAUGGAUCCAAUGGUAGGAUACGCCAGGAUGGGAGCAUUUCCAAAGGCGGCAUGAUGUACGGCACGUUGCCAAAUGUCAAAGUCCAGAUGCCGCCUCAGCAAUUCCGUGACGACAUGAUGUACCGUGAGCGGCACUAUCCGGGCAGUGGAGUUCGUGGUGACCUGGACAGCAGUCCCGGGGAGCGGCAGCGUAGUGGGGGCACGUUCCGGCCCCAAGGCAGCAUGCCAGAUCCUGAUGAGGUGGACCGAAUGAUCGCCUCCUCCAAAGCUCCCUUGCACACGGCCACAUUAAUGCGCCGGAGUCCAC